AAAAAAAAAAUCCUUAUCCUUUUUCGUGAAUCAACCUGCACAACCCUGUUCCCGCUGCUAUUCACGCAUGUGCUCACUAUUUUGAUCUGUCACGCCGUCCAGUGGGUGUCGUGUGCCACCGCCUUGAGCCGUCGUCGUCAACUUCUUUCCGCCGUCACUCUGUCUUGGUCUCGUCGGAAUCUUGGACUUGGUUUAGGAGGAGAUUUGAAACCAAAAGCGGCCUGUCCAGCGGCUUCGAGGUUGUUUCCAGCAAGGAUUUUGGUUUAGAGCCAAUAUCUGUGGGAGUAAGGAUUGUUUUUGGGCGAAUUAGCUUUUGGGUCACAUUGGUGUUGAAGCUUUGAAUCUAGCCACACUUUGGGACCCUAAGAAGGCUUAUACUUGGGCUUUAUUAGGAAAACUUGUAUGAUCAUCACAUCCACACAUCCCUACAUCGAAUGAUAAAUCAACGCAUCAAGCAGACACCAGCAAUAGCAAGGUCGUGUUUAUUCAACCACUCGAUAGAAGGCCGAGAAGUCAGGCACUAUGGUGAUAGUUUCUUUACCUCUUCCUCUUCCAAGGGUUGAAGAACACUCAUCCAACUCUUGGAAUCCUAGAGAAUAAGAGGAAUUUUGAAAAGCUUGGGAGUCUACGAAGCCUGUAAGUCCGUGUCGAUCAAGGAGUAAGAGUUAUUGAAGAGAUCAGUGGAAAAAUGGAAGUUUUCGAUCUAAGUUCAAAGCAAAAUGAAGCAAAAUGGAACAUCCAUAGCGUUGCAACGUUCCGAACUUCACAGGCGCACGCCGAGGAGUUCGACGAUUGUCGGUUCGAACCUCCCCUCCAGUGUUUGCAAUAGUUUUUCUUGAUUUUAUUAAUUUUAUUUCUUUAUAUUAAUUAAAUUAAUGUAAAUUAGUUAUAUUAACUUCAUUAAAUAUUUACGGUGCCAAAAUUUGGCCCAAUAUUUACUGUUUAUUUUAAUUUUUUAUGCAUUGGAUGUAUAUUUAAAUUAAUGUUUGAA
Non-coding RNA from Benincasa hispida (wax gourd), 991 nucleotides. The record is from RefSeq and is a predicted model, not a curated record. NCBI's taxonomy places the organism in Eukaryota, Viridiplantae, Streptophyta, Magnoliopsida, Cucurbitales, Cucurbitaceae.